RNAcentral lists this long non-coding RNA (283 nucleotides) under Elaeis guineensis (African oil palm). RNAcentral describes it as "long non-coding RNA (EGUI_LNC032115)". Lineage: Eukaryota; Viridiplantae; Streptophyta; Magnoliopsida; Arecales; Arecaceae. The record is from RNAcentral.
CUCCUAUGAUCCGAACCAAAUAUAGGAUUAGGUUCCAUCUUCAUCUUGAAUUCUCGCCAACACUGGCUAAAAGAUCUCCUCCACUCUCCCAGCCUCCACAACCUCUAUUCCACAUUGGCCAUCUUUCUUCUUUGCCGGAAACCAGAAGACGACAAAAAGCCUUCCUAGAUUUCUUAUUUAGAGAUAAGGACCUCUUCUUCUUCUCGCAUCUCUCUUUCCCCCACGUGAUGUUUGGGGUCACUGGCUACUUGCAGAUACUGCAACCCAGUGGUAGUUGACCCUG